AACGAACGCUGGCGGCAGGCUUAACACAUGCAAGUCGAGCGCCCCGCAAGGGGAGCGGCAGACGGGUGAGUAACGCGUGGGAAUCUACCCAAUACUACGGAAUAGCUCCGGGAAACUGGAAUUAAUACCGUAUGUGCCCUACGGGGGAAAGAUUUAUCGGUAUUGGAUGAGCCCGCGUUGGAUUAGCUAGUUGGUGGGGUAAUGGCCUACCAAGGCGACGAUCCAUAGCUGGUCUGAGAGGAUGAUCAGCCACACUGGGACUGAGACACGGCCCAGACUCGUACGGGAGGCAGCAGUGGGAAAUAUUGGACAAUGGGCGAAAGCCUGGUCCAGCCAUGCCGCGUGAGUGAUGAAGGCCUUAGGGUUGUAAAGCUCUUUUAGUGGGGAAGAUAAUGACGGUACCCACAGAAAAAGCCCCGGCUAACUUCGUGCCAGCCGCCGCAGUAA
Molecule: ribosomal RNA, 447 nt
Filed under: uncultured bacterium
Lineage: Bacteria
Description: partial 16S ribosomal RNA
Rfam family: Bacterial small subunit ribosomal RNA
Source: RNAcentral